This 261-nucleotide long non-coding RNA is filed under the name Theobroma cacao (cacao). Its description in RNAcentral is "long non-coding RNA (TCAC_LNC000475)". The record is from RNAcentral. Lineage: Eukaryota; Viridiplantae; Streptophyta; Magnoliopsida; Malvales; Malvaceae.
UUCCUUGGCGUUGGCCGAGUUACACAUUCACGUGGGGGUUCGACGUGAAGUGAGCUCUAAUACUACCCCAGGAGUUACCUUCCUCGCCUCUACAACCAGAGUAACUAUAUAACUGGGUUUACCGUGCCCCUAUAAUAGGCAGUCCACGGAAACCCGUCACUACAGUGACUAACCCACCAAUUUUAAUAAAAUUUCGACAGUAUAACGUGGCUUUUAUUUAUUUAUCCAGCCUGCAUAGUAAAACAACUUACAUAAAUUUCC